AAAUAUUUGAUCGUAAUAGAAAUAGUAGUAUUUGACGAGGUCAGCAGAGAUCCUGUGGUGGUGUGAACAGGAGACUGGUCAUUUACGAACUCAUCUAAAUGUGAUUAUUACUGAAUUUUAGUAGGUAAUGACGUUUACCGCGUUAAGGUCUUAAGCGCCAUGGAUUCCAUGGAAAACGGGUGGUACCGCGGAGUUAUUUCGUCUCGUAG
The sequence is a regulatory RNA element, 209 nucleotides long. It matches the Rfam family "T-box leader". From Rfam's summary of the family: Uncharged tRNA acts as the effector for transcription antitermination of genes in the T-box leader family. The record is from Rfam.